GAGCUGGGUUCAUGCCUGAUUCAAAGAACUGUAAUUAUUAAAUGGUCAUUCACUGUCAGGGAUGCAAAUCAAACCUAUUUCAACGGUUUUGCUUCCAACUUCAUUUGAAACGCUUGAUGAAUCCUUGGUUAAUACUGAGCCUAGUGCGAAAAACUGGAACUGUUCUUAUAUCCUUAUUUUAAUACGGGAUCGGAUUCGCUGUUGCACUCAGGGUAAAGCUCAUUCUUUCCAUAGUCGCUUCGGUGACCAUUUUUUUGGAUCGUGUGAUAUAUAACCCGCAC
Molecule: microRNA precursor, 281 nt
Filed under: Phaeodactylum tricornutum
Lineage: Eukaryota; Bacillariophyta; Bacillariophyceae; Surirellales; Neidiaceae
Description: miR5483 stem-loop (pti-MIR5483)
Source: miRBase by way of RNAcentral